Choloepus didactylus (southern two-toed sloth) is the source of this 103-nucleotide small nuclear RNA. Lineage: Eukaryota; Metazoa; Chordata; Mammalia; Pilosa; Megalonychidae. The record is from RefSeq and is a predicted model, not a curated record.
GUUUGCCGCAGCAGCACAUAUACUAAAAUUGGAAUGAUAGGGAAGAUUAGCAUGGCCCCCGCACAAGGAUGACAUGCAAACUCAUGAAGCAUUCCAUAUUUUU